UACGGAGGGAGCUAGCGCUGUUCGGAAUUACUGGGCGUAAAGCGCACGUAGGCGGUCUUGAAAGUCAGAGGUGAAAUCCCAGGGCUCAACCUUGGAACUGCCUUUGAAACUUCUGGUCUUGAGGUCGAGAGAGGUGAGUGGAAUUCCGAGUGUAGAGGUGAAAUUCGUAGAUAUUCGGAGGAACACCAGUGGCGAAGGCGGCUCACUGGCUCGAUACUGACGCUGAGGUGCGAAAGCGUGGGGAGAAAACAGG
This 253-nucleotide ribosomal RNA is filed under the name uncultured bacterium. RNAcentral's name for it is "partial 16S ribosomal RNA". It matches the Rfam family "Bacterial small subunit ribosomal RNA", at positions 524 to 776 of the family's 1533-position model. The record is from RNAcentral.